This is a long non-coding RNA of Pygoscelis adeliae (Adelie penguin), 561 nucleotides long. RefSeq lists it as uncharacterized. The transcript is spliced from 3 exons. The record is from RefSeq and is a predicted model, not a curated record. NCBI's taxonomy places the organism in Eukaryota, Metazoa, Chordata, Aves, Sphenisciformes, Spheniscidae.
AGGCAUUGCAAGCAGAUCUUUGAUGCUGCAGAUCAGAGAUGGACCCUGGUGAAAACUGGAAGCUGGAUGAAACCAACUGGUUGUCUCAUGGUGGGAUCCAUCCCUUUGCCAGUGUGAAAGGAGACAAUGAGCUCUCCGAAGGUGCCCCAGCCCUCUUUGCUCUGGAUCAGCUGGGGCAAUGAAUUCUCCAUUCUUGGAGAUAUUCAAAAGCUGUCUGGACAUGGUUCUGGGCGACCAGCUCUAGGCAGUCCUGCCUGAGCAGAGGGCUUGGACCAGAUGACCUCCAGAGGUCCCUGCCAACCUCAACCAGUCUGUGAUUCUGCGACUUCCCCGCUGCUCUGAAAACUCACCUUGUCACCAGUAAGGAUUCUCUACAUGCACCCACUGGGCUGCUCACCACAUGCAGCACUGGUGGAAACUUGCAGUAGGAGGGUAAAAACUGCAGGAGUGCAGAAUGGUGAUUUUUAUCAUGUGUAACUAUCUCUGCUGUAAACCUCUGCUGCUAAGAGCCAGGAUCUUGAAAAAAUUCCUGUAAAUACAAAAAUAAACUGUAUGAUGCCU